This 408-nucleotide ribosomal RNA is filed under the name uncultured bacterium. RNAcentral describes it as "partial 16S ribosomal RNA". It matches the Rfam family "Bacterial small subunit ribosomal RNA", at positions 28 to 526 of the family's 1533-position model. The record is from RNAcentral.
GACGAACGCUGGCGGCGUGCUUAACACAUGCAAGUCGAACGAAGUGGCGAACGGGUGAGUAACGCGUAAUCAACCUGCCCUUCAGAGGGGGACAACAGUUGGAAACGACUGCUAAUACCGCAUACUGAAGGAGGGGAUUGCGUCGGAUUAGGUAGUUGGAGGGGUAACGGCCCACCAAGGGGAUGAUCAGUAGCCGGGUUGAGAGGAUGAACGGCCAAAUUGGGAAUGAGGCACGGCCCAGAAUCCCACGGGAGGCAGCAGGGGGGAAUUUUCCGAAAUGGACGAAAGUCUGACGGAGCAACUCCGCGUGAGUGAUGACGGCCUUCGGGUUGUAAAGCUCUGUUAAUCGGGACGCGGUACCGGAAUAGAAAGCCACGGCUAACUACGUGCCAGCAGCCGCGGUAAUUC